Molecule: ribosomal RNA, 406 nt
Filed under: uncultured bacterium
Lineage: Bacteria
Description: partial 16S ribosomal RNA
Rfam family: Bacterial small subunit ribosomal RNA
Source: RNAcentral
AUUGAACGCUGGCGGCAGGCCUAACACAUGCAAGUCGAGCGAGCGGCGGACGGGUGAGUAAUGUCUGGGAAACUGCCUGAUGGAGGGGGAUAACUACUGGAAACGGUAGCUAAUACCCCAUACCAUCAGAUGUGCCCAGAUGGGGUUAGUUGUUAGGUGGGGUAACGGGUCACCUAGGCGACGAUCCCUAGCUGGUCUGAGAGGAUGACCAGCCACACUGGAACUGAGACACGGUCCAGACUCCUACGGGAGGCAGCAGUGGGGAAUAUUGCACAAUGGGCGCAAGCCUGAUGCAGCCAUGCCGCGUGUUUGAAGAAGGCCUUCGGGUUGUAAAGCACUUUCAGCGGGGAGGCGUUACCCGCAGAAGAAGCACCGGCUAACUCCGUGCCAGCAGCCGCGGUAAUAC